This 513-nucleotide ribosomal RNA is filed under the name Pelecus cultratus. RNAcentral's name for it is "partial 16S ribosomal RNA". It matches the Rfam family "Bacterial large subunit ribosomal RNA", at positions 1854 to 2565 of the family's 2925-position model. Lineage: Eukaryota; Metazoa; Chordata; Actinopteri; Cypriniformes; Leuciscidae. The record is from RNAcentral.
CAGCCUGCCCAGUGACUACGGGUUCAACGGCCGCGGUAUUUUGACCGUGCAAAGGUAGCGCAAUCACUUGUCUCUUAAAUAGAGACCUGUAUGAAUGGCUAGACGAGGGCUUAACUGUCUCCCCCUUCCAGUCAGUGAAAUUGAUCUAUCCGUGCAGAAGCGGGUAUAAUUAUACAAGACGAGAAGACCCUUUGGAGCUUAAGGUACAAAAUUCAACCACGUUAAACAACUCCAUAAAAAGUACGAACUUAGUGGCAUAUGAAAUUUUACCUUCGGUUGGGGCGACCACGGAGGAAAAAUAAGCCUCCGAGUGGACUGGGCCAAAUACCCAAAGCCAAAAGAUACAUCUUUAAGCCRCAGAAUAUCUGACCAAAAAUGAUCCGACUAAUAAAGCCGAUCAACGAACCAAGUUACCCUAGGGAUAACAGCGCAAUCCUCUCCCAGAGUCCAUAUCGACGAGGGGGUUUACGACCUCGAUGUUGGAUCAGGACAUCCUAAUGGUGCAGCCGCUAU